GGAACUUCAGCAAGCCUGCAAGGAAUUUGGUCUAAGCGAGCUCAAUCUUGAUGAAAUAAUUAAAGAUAUUGAUCAAGAUAAUGAUGGACAGAUAGACUAUGGGGAAUUUUCUGCAAUGAUGAGGAAAGGCACCGGCGGAGGCGUUGGAAGGAGGACCAUAAGAAACACAUUGAAUUUAGGAGAAGCACUUGGACUUGUACAGAGUGAAGAAAACGUAUGACCAACAAACGCGAUGUUUCUAAUUUCUUUUUGCCAUGAAGGUCCAAUUAUAUGACAUUUACUGCUACAAGGGUUAGGUGUUGAACUUGAUCCCUUUCCUUGCUUUAUUGACGACUGUUUUUUUUACCUUUAUUUGUCUAAGCUUAGAACAAUUU
This 374-nucleotide unclassified non-coding RNA is filed under the name Hevea brasiliensis (rubber tree). Lineage: Eukaryota; Viridiplantae; Streptophyta; Magnoliopsida; Malpighiales; Euphorbiaceae. The record is from RNAcentral.